This 253-nucleotide ribosomal RNA is filed under the name uncultured bacterium. RNAcentral's name for it is "partial 16S ribosomal RNA". It matches the Rfam family "Bacterial small subunit ribosomal RNA", at positions 524 to 776 of the family's 1533-position model. The record is from RNAcentral.
UACAGAGGGGGCAAGCGUUGUUCGGAAUUACUGGGCGUAAAGGGCGCGUAGGCGGCCUUCUAAGUCAUGCGUGAAAUCCCCGGGCUCAACCCGGGAACUGCGUCUGAUACUGGAGGGCUUGAAUCCGGGAGAGGGAUGUGGAAUUCCAGGUGUAGCGGUGAAAUGCGUAGAUAUCUGGAGGAACACCGGUGGCGAAGGCGGCAUCCUGGACCGGCAUUGACGCUGAGGCGCGAAAGCCAGGGGAGCAAACGGG